This 528-nucleotide ribosomal RNA is filed under the name fungal endophyte sp. ECD-2008. RNAcentral describes it as "eukaryotic LSU rRNA". The stretch from base 198 to 351 matches the Rfam family "5.8S ribosomal RNA". The record is from RNAcentral. Lineage: Eukaryota; Fungi.
GAACCUGCGGAGGGAUCAUUACAGAGUUAUCUAAACUCCCAAACCCAUGUGAACAUACCUCGCGUUGCCUCGGCAGGUGGCGUCCUACCCCGUGAUACCUACCCUGUAGGACCUACCCGGUAGGCGACCCUGCCGACGGCCCCCGAAACUCUGUUUUUAUAGCAUUGGACUUCUGAAAAGAUAACUAAAUAAGUUAAAACUUUCAACAACGGAUCUCUUGGUUCUGGCAUCGAUGAAGAACGCAGCGAAAUGCGAUAAGUAAUGUGAAUUGCAGAAUUCAGUGAAUCAUCGAAUCUUUGAACGCACAUUGCGCCCACUAGUAUUCUGGUGGGCAUGCCUGUUCGAGCGUCAUUUCAACCCUUAAGCCCCCGUUGCUUAGUGUUGGGAGCCUACUGGAACUCUCCUGUAGCUCCCCAAAGUCAGUGGCGGAGCCGGUUCGCACUCCAGACGUAGUAGCUUUUACACAUCGCCUGUAGCUUGGACCCGGUCCCCUGCCGUAAAACACCCCCCAAUUUUAUAGGUGACCUC